This 254-nucleotide ribosomal RNA is filed under the name uncultured bacterium. RNAcentral describes it as "partial 16S ribosomal RNA". It matches the Rfam family "Bacterial small subunit ribosomal RNA", at positions 524 to 776 of the family's 1533-position model. The record is from RNAcentral.
UACGUAGGGGGCGAGCGUUGUCCGGAAUCAUUGGGCGUAAAGAGCUCGUAGGCGGUUCAGCAAGUCGGCUGUGAAAUUCCGAGGCUCAACCUCGGAACUGCAGUCGAUACUGCUGUGACUCGAGUCCGGUAGAGGAGAAUGGAAUUCCCGGUGUAGCGGUGAAAUGCGCAGAUAUCGGGAGGAACACCAGUAGCGAAGGCGGUUCUCUGGGCUCUACCUGACGCUGAGACGCGAAAGCGUGGGGAGCGAACCGG